GGAUAGAGCAACUGCCUUCUAAGCAGUAGGCCGGAGGUUCGAGUCCCCCACAGCGCGCCA
This 60-nucleotide transfer RNA is filed under the name Oscillospiraceae bacterium. RNAcentral describes it as "tRNA-Ser". It matches the Rfam family "tRNA", at positions 17 to 71 of the family's 71-position model. Rfam says of the family: Transfer RNA (tRNA) molecules are approximately 80 nucleotides in length. Their secondary structure includes four short double-helical elements and three loops (D, anti-codon, and T loops). Lineage: Bacteria; Bacillati; Bacillota; Clostridia; Eubacteriales; Oscillospiraceae. The record is from RNAcentral.